CUGUCGCCGGACCAGAUCUGCGCAUUGGCUGAUUACAUCAUCCAGGAAGCGGCCGAUUCAUCAGGGCAGUACGGUGCCCCGCCCAUUGCCACACCCAAUGCCUCGCCCAUUGCCACACCCAGUGCCCCACCCAGUGCCUCACCCAGUGCCCCACCCAGUGCCCCACCCAGUGCCACACCCAGUGCCUCACCCGAUGCAGAUGAAGGUCUGACGGAACUGGCCUCUAACACCAUCAAAGCCCGGCUCUCCUUGCUCUUGACCAGUUUCCAUGGCAACAAGGGCGUGGCCGAGCACCUUAUCAGAUACCUUGGCGACUGUAGUCGCGAGACAAACCCGUCCUCUGCCCUAUACCAGCAGUUAUUACUAGAGCUAUACCUGCAGGUCCCUGAGACUAUACAGAAUCUCUCCUUCAUCAGUACCAAGCUACAAUCACAAGACACUAGUAAUAUACCCACCCCAGUCGACUGCCUCACACACAGGUUACUGUGUGUGUUAGCAGACAGCAAACCAGGAGAUACCAGCAAGCAGAAGGCCGAUGAUGCCAACGUAGCCUGCCGCAAGCUGGCAGCAGAACACCCUGUACUCAUACUCAGG
Long non-coding RNA from Patiria miniata (bat star), 594 nucleotides. RefSeq lists it as uncharacterized. Lineage: Eukaryota; Metazoa; Echinodermata; Asteroidea; Valvatida; Asterinidae. The record is from RefSeq and is a predicted model, not a curated record. The transcript has 3 exons.